RNAcentral lists this long non-coding RNA (366 nucleotides) under Meriones unguiculatus (Mongolian gerbil). Its description in RNAcentral is "lncRNA (ENSMUGG00000007889.1)". The record is from RNAcentral. Lineage: Eukaryota; Metazoa; Chordata; Mammalia; Rodentia; Muridae.
CGGGGAGCAGGCGGCGCAGGAGAGCGCCCCGAGUCCCGGCGCGGGAGGAGGAGCGGGAGCCAGCCCGGGAGACCGCGCUCCUGGCCGCACCUGCGUCGGGCAGACGGCCACCCGGCCCCGUCCUGCCUAACCCCGUCCUCGUCCCCGGCCCUGCACCGUGUCGUGCACCCCGCGGCCCUCUGGAAAGGACAGAGGGGGGCGCCAGAUUGGAUGAAAACUGGAGAGCCAAGUCUUGGGAGUGAGAACCACAGAACACCCCUGGCUUUGCUGGUGGAGAAGGAGUCUUGUCAAAAUGACCCUAUCGCCUUCUCUUCCGCGUGCAUGAAGGAACUGGGUGAUUGGGCAUUCUUUUUCAGAGACACAUGA